RNAcentral lists this long non-coding RNA (500 nucleotides) under Oryza brachyantha (malo sina). RNAcentral describes it as "long non-coding RNA (OBRA_LNC003255)". The record is from RNAcentral. Lineage: Eukaryota; Viridiplantae; Streptophyta; Magnoliopsida; Poales; Poaceae.
UAUUCAAACAAAUUUAAUUUACCAAAUUAAAUUCUUACUUCCAAAUUCCGAUGUUCAAGUAGAAACAAACUCUGUUGGCAUGCAUGUUACGUACACUAUGCAUGCACUGCAACAGUCCAGGUACUAUAGCCCAAUGCGCCAUCUUUUUCUUCCUCUUUUUCCAUGAUUUUUUCGGGACUUACCCACAGCAUGUGAAGUCCGUUAUGAUUUCAUCCCUACAUGGUAUCCAUCCAUUUGUAUGCCACCAUUCAGUAUUUUGAUCUCCUAUUGAAAAUCGUCCAAAUGAUGGAAGGAGCUAUAUAGAAACAGUGGUACUCAGCUAAGAGAUGGAGAUAGUGCUUUCUUUUGCUUAAACCCUGCAUUUCUGAAUCCUGAUAACUUCCAAUCCUAUGAAGUACUCAAGGUUAAUCAUGGCCUUCCCCUAGCUAAGCUGGUUUCCUUCCUAGUGCUCACGUUCAUACUUCCAACUCUCAACCAUGGAAGUGGGAGUGCAUGAUUAA